UACGGGGGGGGCAAGCGUUGUUCGGAAUUACUGGGCGUAAAGGGCUCGUAGGUGGCCAACUAAGUCAUGCGUGAAAUCCCUCGGCUUAACCGGGGAACUGCGUUUGAUACUGGAUGGCUUGAGAUUGGGAGAGGGAUGCAGAAUUCCAGGUGUAGCGGUGAAAUGCGUAGAUAUCUGGAGGAACACCGGUGGCGAAGGCGGCAUCCUGGACCAACACUGACGCUGAGGAGCGAAAGCCAGGGGAGCAAACGGG
This 253-nucleotide ribosomal RNA is filed under the name uncultured bacterium. RNAcentral's name for it is "partial 16S ribosomal RNA". It matches the Rfam family "Bacterial small subunit ribosomal RNA", at positions 524 to 776 of the family's 1533-position model. The record is from RNAcentral.